CUUGAGGGAGCCGAGCCACAACGGCCGGUCCGCCUGCCGGUCCUGGCCGUAGACGGCGAUGAGGGCCUGCGCCUC
RNAcentral lists this antisense RNA (75 nucleotides) under Actinobacteria bacterium OK074. Its description in RNAcentral is "ASpks TB sRNA". It matches the Rfam family "ASpks TB sRNA". Lineage: Bacteria; Bacillati; Actinomycetota; Actinomycetes. The record is from Rfam by way of RNAcentral.